This 559-nucleotide long non-coding RNA is filed under the name Pan troglodytes (chimpanzee). RNAcentral describes it as "lincRNA". Lineage: Eukaryota; Metazoa; Chordata; Mammalia; Primates; Hominidae. The record is from RNAcentral.
GGGAAGCACUCCACACUCUCACCCAGGUCCUGUAUCCCUGCAAGACUGCGUUGGAAAGACUGAAGAGGCUGGAGUGCAGUGGCACAAUCUUGGCUCACAGGAACCUCCGCCUCCCAGGUUCAAGAGAUUCUCAUGCCUCAGCCUCGCGAGUAGCUGGAAUUACAGGAAGCUAAAGAAUGAUGCGCUCCACCACAAUGAGGGACUAAACAACAAAAAGGAGGCAUGAGAUUCAGGAAGCAAAAAAGGAAUUCAUCAUAUGAAGGAAUGAAGAUGUUCAAAAGAAAACCUUCAACCUCAUGCCAGAAGAUGUUCCCAGCUGUAUAAAUGCCUAACUCAGCUUCUAGUCCUUGGAAAUUAAGCAGCUCAUUGAAAAUUCAAGAGUUCCAGCCAGAAGCUACAGCUAGGCUCAGAUGUUGAAAUCAGUCUCUCCUGCUGAUUAAACUGUGACAUAGCCAAAGCAAUAGGCCUGGCUUUUCAGUUAAUUCUCAGCGAGCCCUUCCUUUCCCUCUGUAGUGGUUGGUGUGGCAUUUAUAAUAUAACUCCUUUAUGUACACUGUAA